CCUACGGGUGGCAGCAGUCGAGAAUCAUUCACAAUGGGGGAAACCCUGAUGGUGCGACGCCGCGUGGGGGAAUGAAGGUCUUCGGAUUGUAAACCCCUGUCAUGUGGGAGCAAAUUAAAAAGAUAGUACCACAAGAGGAAGAGACGGCUAACUCUGUGUCAGCCGCCGCGGUAAUACAGAGGUCUCAAGCGUUGUUCGGAAUCACUGGGCGUAAAGCGUGCGUAGGCUGUUUCGUAAGUCGUGUGUGAAAGGCGCGGGCUCAACCCGCGGACGGCACAUGAUACUGCGAGACUAGAGUAAGGGAGGGGGAAGCGGAAUUCUCGGUGUAGCAGUGAAAUGCGUAGAUAUCGAGAGGAACACUCGUGGCGAAGGCGGGUUCCUGGACAUUAACUGACGCUGAGGCACGAAGGCCAGGGGAGCGAAAGGGAUUAGAUACCCGAGUAGUC
RNAcentral lists this ribosomal RNA (446 nucleotides) under uncultured bacterium. RNAcentral's name for it is "partial 16S ribosomal RNA". It matches the Rfam family "Bacterial small subunit ribosomal RNA", at positions 338 to 795 of the family's 1533-position model. The record is from RNAcentral.